GACGAACGCUGGCGGCGUGCUUAACACAUGCAAGUCGAACGGAAAGGCCCUGCUUUUGUGGGGUGCUCGAGUGGCGAACGGGUGAGUAACACGUGAGUAACCUGCCCUUGACUUUGGGAUAACUUCAGGAAACUGGGGCUAAUACCGGAUAGGAGCUCCUGCUGCAUGGUGGGGGCUGGAAAGUUUCGGCGGUUGGGGAUGGACUCGCGGCUUAUCAGCUUGUUGGUGGGGUAGUGGCAUACCAAGGCUUUGACGGGUAGCCGGCCUGAGAGGGUAACCGGACAAGUUGGAAUGGGGCUGAGGCACGGACUAGAACCGGAGGCAGCGGAGCAGAAGAGUGUACAGUGGGAGGAGGGCAAAUGCGGCACAGCCACGUGGGGGGUAAGAGCAAUCGGGUAGUAAUGCGCUAUCGUCUGUGACGAGACGUGAAUGACGGUAAUGGGUAAAGAAGCACCGGCUAACUACGUG
RNAcentral lists this ribosomal RNA (468 nucleotides) under uncultured bacterium. Its description in RNAcentral is "partial 16S ribosomal RNA". It matches the Rfam family "Bacterial small subunit ribosomal RNA", at positions 28 to 507 of the family's 1533-position model. The record is from RNAcentral.